UCCUACGGGGGGCAGCAGUGGGGAAUAUUGCACAAUGGGGGGAACCCUGAUGCAGCGAUGCCGCGUGGAGGAAGAAGGUUUUCGGAUUGUAAACUCCUUUUAUCAGGGACGAUAAUGACGGUACCUGAAGAAAAAGCUCCGGCUAACUACGUGCCAGCAGCCGCGGUAAUACGUAGGGAGCGAGCGUUGUCCGGAAUUACUGGGUGUAAAGGGUGCGUAGGCGGCUUUGCAAGUCAGAAGUGAAAUCUAUGGGCUUAACCCAUAAACUGCUUUUGAAACUGCAGGGCUUGAGUGAAGUAGAGGUA
This 305-nucleotide ribosomal RNA is filed under the name uncultured bacterium. RNAcentral's name for it is "bacterial SSU rRNA". It matches the Rfam family "Bacterial small subunit ribosomal RNA", at positions 337 to 659 of the family's 1533-position model. The record is from RNAcentral.